CUUGGUGGUCGGGACUAAGGAAAAAGCCGGGAUGGUAAAGCAUUCCUUGGUUAGGACAUACCAAAGAGAGAAAAACCGCAGGGGUGGUAAAGUAUUCCUUAGGAUGUCUUAGAGGUGAGAAAUCCCUAUUGUUGGGGGGGUUGAACCUCACACAAACCUCCAGUAGUAAGAAAAAUAUUCAGAACUCCCCUUUUCUUUCUUCUCAGGGAAAGAAACAGUAGCUCCACUCCUGCCGGUCCCUCCCCUAGGGGAGAGGGAAGCAGAGGAGAAAACAGCAGCAUAGGUGGCUGGCAAAGACAAAGGAAAGACCAGUAGAAGAGAAAGAAACCAAAAACAGCAAGCGCAGAGCCAAACAGCCAGGCAGGCAGGCCAAAGGUUAAGUCCCUCUCCCCAGCCCUGCGGUUUGUGAAAAAGAGGGUGGGCACCGGCUCCGGGAGGAGAGCAGAGGAGGUGAAAAGGCGUAAUUCUUGCAAUUUGCGGCAGGCAUAUCUGCCAAGCCUCUAGGCUAGUGACUGCCCGGGGCCCAGACUGCAGCCACGCAAAUCCCACUCAGCCCAAGAAACUAAGUGUAAAAAGAAAAGGAAAAAAAAAAAAGUAAGAGGGGAAAUCAGGGGGAAAAAAAAGAAAAACAGCAGCGCGGGGUCGGGGGCGGGGCCUGUGCGGUGGCCCAGCCCUGCUUGCGGCAGGAGCGGGAGAAGUCCGGAGAAGAAAGGGAAACGGGAUGAGAGAGCGGAAAAUAGAGUGCAAAUGAGAGAAAGAAAUAGAAGGAAAGAGUAAGAGAGAAACUGGAAGAGACAGAAAUCAAAAGAAGACAAAGGAGGUGAAACUAGGAAAAAAAUAGUGUAAAAGGAAGGCAGAAAGUUAAGACAUGUUGAAGAUUGUGAAAGUCGUAAGAAAAGCUAUAAAAGGG
Molecule: long non-coding RNA, 910 nt
Filed under: Homo sapiens (human)
Lineage: Eukaryota; Metazoa; Chordata; Mammalia; Primates; Hominidae
Description: long non-coding RNA NONHSAT240227
Source: RNAcentral